RNAcentral lists this ribosomal RNA (157 nucleotides) under Phoma sp. EF-40-2. RNAcentral describes it as "5.8S ribosomal RNA". It matches the Rfam family "5.8S ribosomal RNA". Rfam says of the family: 5.8S ribosomal RNA (5.8S rRNA) is a component of the large subunit of the eukaryotic ribosome. It is transcribed by RNA polymerase I as part of the 45S precursor that also contains 18S and 28S rRNA. RNAcentral also lists the same sequence under 1 other name. The record is from RNAcentral. Lineage: Eukaryota; Fungi; Ascomycota; Dothideomycetes; Pleosporales; Didymellaceae.
CAACAACGGAUCUCUUGGUUCUGGCAUCGAUGAAGAACGCAGCGAAAUGCGAUAAGUAGUGUGAAUUGCAGAAUUCAGUGAAUCAUCGAAUCUUUGAACGCACAUUGCGCCCCUUGGUAUUCCAUGGGGCAUGCCUGUUCGAGCGUCAUUUGUACCU